AACGUAGGACGCAAGCGUUAUCCGGAGUUACUGGGCGUAAAGCGCGGGCAGGCGGCUCGAUGCGUCUGAUGUGAAAUCUCCUCGCUCAACGGGGAGAGGCCAUUGGAAACGGUCGAGCUGGAGGGCAGUAGAGGUAGGCGGAAUUCCGGGUGGAGUGGUGAAAUGCGUAGAGAUCCGGAGGAACACCAGAGGCGAAGGCGGCCUACUGGGCUGCACCUGACGCUGAGACGCGAAAGCCAGGGGAGCGAACGGG
This 253-nucleotide ribosomal RNA is filed under the name uncultured bacterium. RNAcentral's name for it is "partial 16S ribosomal RNA". It matches the Rfam family "Bacterial small subunit ribosomal RNA", at positions 524 to 776 of the family's 1533-position model. The record is from RNAcentral.